Molecule: microRNA precursor, 61 nt
Filed under: Ptychodera flava
Lineage: Eukaryota; Metazoa; Hemichordata; Enteropneusta; Ptychoderidae
Description: Pfl-Mir-4835_pre stem-loop
Source: RNAcentral
GGGUGGCUGGACCGCUUAAUGUGUUCAUGUUAAUGCUCAUCAAGCAGUCCAUCCAUCCUUG